UAAUAGAAAGGCUUAAUAUCGUUUUUGGUCUUUAGUUUGGGGGUUGUGUUCAGAAUGAUUAUAUUUUUUUUUUACGUAACAAUUGAUCCCAAGUUUUGAAAAAAUAGUUCAAAUUAAUCCUUUUUUGUUACGACGAACUCUCUCUUACGUGACACUGCAGGGUAAUAUAACAUAUGAAUUUUGACUUUAAAAAAAAAAUUACAUGUCAGCUUCAUCUUCCGCCUCCACUAACUAUAAAUUUAGGGUUUUUUCCCUUGUGACACUAGGGGCUUGCGGCCGUCGUCUCCUUCUUCCUCCCCCUCCCCCUCUCCCUCUCCCUUUCCUCCCCCACAAAACACAUAAGCUUUCCAAGCACUCUCUCGAGAACUAACAAAUGGGCAUUCACUAUAAAACCAAUCUGUUCAUCUUUAACAAUCUCUUUUUCCCAGAAGAACACAAACAUUUCUCAAGGAAACCCUUCUCUUAC
This 466-nucleotide long non-coding RNA is filed under the name Vigna radiata. RNAcentral describes it as "long non-coding RNA (VRAD_LNC008939)". Lineage: Eukaryota; Viridiplantae; Streptophyta; Magnoliopsida; Fabales; Fabaceae. The record is from RNAcentral.